Molecule: ribosomal RNA, 242 nt
Filed under: uncultured Planctomycetales bacterium
Lineage: Bacteria; Pseudomonadati; Planctomycetota; Planctomycetia; Planctomycetales
Description: partial 16S ribosomal RNA
Rfam family: Bacterial small subunit ribosomal RNA
Source: RNAcentral
GGAGUUAGGAAAUGCAGGUUGGUUAAUACCCGACCUGUUUGACAAAGGCCCCAAAGGAAGCCACGGCUAACUCUGUGCCAGCAGCCGCGGUAAUACAGAGGUGGCAAGCGCUGUUCGGUAUUAUUGGGCGUAAAGAGCACGUAGGUGGUUUUGUAAGUCAGAUGUGAAAGCCUUCUGUUCAAAGGAAGAACGGCAUCUGAAACUGCAGAUCUUGAGUGUAGGAGGGGAGAGUGGAACUUCUG